Molecule: long non-coding RNA, 346 nt
Filed under: Lathyrus oleraceus (garden pea)
Lineage: Eukaryota; Viridiplantae; Streptophyta; Magnoliopsida; Fabales; Fabaceae
Description: Pisum sativum (pea) long non-coding RNA (PSAT_LNC026161)
Source: RNAcentral
UCCCCUUCUUUAUGCAUCCAUUUCAUUUGGCCUAUGAUAUCUCAAAGUCCUAAAGCUAGUUGAUUGAAGAAUCAACAUGAGUAUGGAUGAGAUUAGACCACCUCUUUUGCAUAUUCUUCUUGUGUGUGGUAUUUUUCAUGAGCAUAGUCCAUUAUACUAUGUCUCUAACAUGCAUUAACACCAAAAUUCUAUUGCCCAAUCUCAAAUAGUUGUGACUUCUACAUAAGUCCAAUUACGAUUGCUUAACAUAACGCUAAAUUUUUGAUGCAAAAGGCAUAACAUUCUAGUUAGUGAGAUUGUAAGCCUCCCCUCUUUCAUGGUAUUGUGUGGAAACUUGGCAUUUUUU